This 402-nucleotide ribosomal RNA is filed under the name uncultured bacterium. RNAcentral describes it as "bacterial SSU rRNA". It matches the Rfam family "Bacterial small subunit ribosomal RNA", at positions 355 to 774 of the family's 1533-position model. The record is from RNAcentral.
UAGGGAAUAUUAGAAAUGGACGAAAGUCUGAUCUAGCAACACCGCGUGUGCGAAGAAGGCCUUCGGGUCGUAAAGCACUUUUUGGAAGGAAUAGGAAGGAAUGUACUUCCAGAAUAAGUCUCGGCUAACUACGUGCCAGCAGCCGCGGUAACACGUAGGAGGCAAACGUUAUCCGGAUUUACUGGGCGUAAAGCGCGUGUAGGUGGUACUGUAAGUAGGGCGUGAAAGCUCCUGGCUCAACUGGGAGAGGCCGUUCUAAACUACAGAACUAGAGGAUGGUAGAGGGAGGUGGAAUUCCAGGUGGAGUGGCGGAAUGCGCAGAUAUCUGGAGGAACACCGGUGGCGAAGGCGGCCUCCUGGACCAUUCCUGACACUCAGACGCGAAAGCUAGGGUAGCAAACG